GAUCCUGGCUCAGGAUGAACGCUGGCGGCGUGCUUAACACAUGCAAGUCGAACGGAACUACUUUGAUGAGAUUCUUCGGAAAGGAUUUGAUUUAGUUUAGUGGCGGACGGGUGAGUAACGCGUGGGUAACCUGCCUCAUACAGGGGGAUAACAGUUGGAAACGGCUGUUAAUACCGCAUAAGCGCACAGUACCGCAUGGUAUGGUGUGAAAAACUCCGGUGGUAUGAGAUGGACCCGCGUCUGAUUAG
This 248-nucleotide ribosomal RNA is filed under the name uncultured bacterium. RNAcentral describes it as "partial 16S ribosomal RNA". It matches the Rfam family "Bacterial small subunit ribosomal RNA", at positions 15 to 244 of the family's 1533-position model. The record is from RNAcentral.